RNAcentral lists this ribosomal RNA (692 nucleotides) under uncultured bacterium. RNAcentral's name for it is "bacterial SSU rRNA". It matches the Rfam family "Bacterial small subunit ribosomal RNA", at positions 339 to 1030 of the family's 1533-position model. The record is from RNAcentral.
CUUCCGCAGCAGCAGUAGGGAAUAUUCCACAAUGAGCGAAAGCUUGAUGGAGCGACACAGCGUGCACGAUGAAGGUCUUCGGAUUGUAAAGUGCUGUUAUAAGGGAAGAACAUUUGCAAUAGGAAAUGAUUGCAGACUGACGGUACCUUGUCAGAAAGCGAUGGCUAACUAUGUGCCAGCAGCCGCGGUAAUACAUAGGUCGCAAGCGUUAUCCGGAAUUAUUGGGCGUAAAGCGUUCGUAGGCUGUUUGUUAAGUCUGGAGUUAAAUCCCGGGGCUCAACCCCGGCUCGCUUUGGAUACUAGCAAACUAGAGUUAGAUAGAGGUAAGCGGAAUUCCAUGUGAAGCGGUGAAAUGCGUAGAUAUAUGGAAGAACACCAAAGGCGAAGGCAGCUUACUGGGUCUAUACUGACGCUGAGGGACGAAAGCGUGGGGAGCAAACAGGAUUAGAUACCCUGGUAGUCCACGCCGUAAACGAUGAUCAUUAGUCGGUGGAGAAUCACUGACGCAGCUAACGCAUUAAAUGAUCCGCCUGAGUAGUAUGCUCGCAAGAGUGAAACUUAAAGGAAUUGACGGGGACCCGCACAAGCGGUGGAGCAUGUGGUUUAAUUUGAAGAUACACGGAAAACCUUACCCACUCUUGACAUCCUUCGCAAAGCUAUAGAGAUAUAGUGGAGGUUAACAGAGUGACGAA